Molecule: long non-coding RNA, 757 nt
Organism: Raphanus sativus (radish)
Lineage: Eukaryota; Viridiplantae; Streptophyta; Magnoliopsida; Brassicales; Brassicaceae
Exons: 3
Source: RefSeq, a predicted model, not a curated record
AUCCGCCUCGGUGCUAUCCGUAUACUUGGAGCCAUAUGUUCGUCGUCUCAAAUAUUCUCCACACCGACAUGUCUCUUCAGCUCUAUCUUAGAGAGGACGCCUCUAUGCGUCAUCACCUUCGGGAUCUCCGUUCAAUUGAAAUUGGAAGAAUCUGGAUUCUCAGAGAGACAUCUGGUCAAGAAAUCAUCAGGUUUUCACAUAUGAACGGUUUGUCCGUAUGGUGCAGUAGUUGUCUAUAAAGUCAUCUUGCUGGACAAGCUGAGAUAUGUUACUUAGAAGAUACCAACAUUUUUAAAAAAACCAAACGCAAGAGCGGUAUAGAGAUCUAGCAGGAGGUAACCGCUGGUAAACAGUUGAAGGAAACAAAAGUAGCUGGAACUUCAUUAAAGUUUCAACAACUUCAAAGUAAGUUUGGUGAAAUGGAGAUGAGAAUCUUGGACACUGAGUCUAGGAAAGCAAAACUAGAUAAAUAACUCAAAACUAAGAACACAAGCUUUCCAUUGUAAGCCUGACUUCAAAUUUCAAUUUUUUUAGUUUAGCUUAUUGUAGUGUUAAUUUCUAUGGGUUUCUCUCCUCUUUGUAGCUUAAAUCAACGAUAUAGAAAGCUACGGCACAGCUGUUCAAAUUGAAUCCUUUUUGGAAACUAUCUGAACCUGACGAUGACAUUGAAAUACUGCCUAAUCAGACUGAAGAUGAACAUCAGCUUGAUUCUUAUUACUAUUUCUGGAUCCAUUAUUAGCUUCUUAUUCUUAUCCAA